UGGGGAAUCUUCCGCAAUGGACGAAAGUCUGACGGAGCAACGCCGCGUGAGUGAAGACGGCCUUCGGGUUGUAAAGCUCUGUGAUCCGGGACGAAAGAGCCUGAGGUAAAUAGCCUAAGGAAGUGACGGUACCGGAAAAGCAAGCCACGGCUAACUACGUGCCAGCAGCCGCGGUAAUACGUAGGUGGCAAGCGUUGUCCGGAAUUAUUGGGCGUAAAGCGCGCGCAGGCGGCUUCCUAAGUCCAUCUUAAAAGUGCGGGGCUUAACCCCGUGAUGGGAUGGAAACUGGGAAGCUGGAGUAUCGGAGAGGAAAGGGGAAUUCCUAGUGUAGCGGUGAAAUGCGUAGAGAUUAGGAAGAACACCGGUGGCGAAGGCGACUUUCUGGACGAAAACUGACGCUGAGGCGCGAAAGCGUGGGGAGCAAACAGG
Molecule: ribosomal RNA, 429 nt
Filed under: Fusobacteriota bacterium
Lineage: Bacteria; Fusobacteriati; Fusobacteriota
Description: Fusobacteria bacterium partial 16S ribosomal RNA
Rfam family: Bacterial small subunit ribosomal RNA
Source: RNAcentral